This 85-nucleotide transfer RNA is filed under the name Xanthobacteraceae bacterium. Its description in RNAcentral is "tRNA-Leu". It matches the Rfam family "tRNA". Rfam says of the family: Transfer RNA (tRNA) molecules are approximately 80 nucleotides in length. Their secondary structure includes four short double-helical elements and three loops (D, anti-codon, and T loops). Further hydrogen bonds mediate the characteristic L-shaped molecular structure. tRNAs have two regions of fundamental functional importance: the anti-codon, which is responsible for specific mRNA codon recognition, and the 3' end, to which the tRNAs corresponding amino acid is attached (by aminoacyl-tRNA synthetases). tRNAs cope with the degeneracy of the genetic code in two manners: having more than one tRNA (with a specific anti-codon) for a particular amino acid; and 'wobble' base-pairing, i.e. permitting non-standard base-pairing at the 3rd anti-codon position. RNAcentral also lists the same sequence under 1 other name. Lineage: Bacteria; Pseudomonadati; Pseudomonadota; Alphaproteobacteria; Hyphomicrobiales; Xanthobacteraceae. The record is from RNAcentral.
GCGGUCGUGGCGGAAUUGGUAGACGCGCUAGCUUGAGGUGCUAGUGGGGCAACUCGUGGAGGUUCGAGUCCUCUCGACCGCACCA